Molecule: ribosomal RNA, 497 nt
Filed under: Arenibacter sp.
Lineage: Bacteria; Pseudomonadati; Bacteroidota; Flavobacteriia; Flavobacteriales; Flavobacteriaceae
Description: bacterial SSU rRNA
Rfam family: Bacterial small subunit ribosomal RNA
Source: RNAcentral
ACGCUAGCGGCAGGCCUAACACAUGCAAGUCGAGGGGCAGCGGGGAUAAGCUUGCUUAUCUGCCGGCGACCGGCGCACGGGUGCGUAACGCGUAUAGAAUCUGCCUUGUACUAGGGAAUAGCCCAGAGAAAUUUGGAUUAAUGCCCUAUAGUAUAUCGUUAUGGCAUCAUAAUGAUAUUAAAGGUUACGGUACAAGAUGACUAUGCGUCCCAUUAGUUAGUUGGUGAGGUAACGGCUCACCAAGACUGCGAUGGGUAGGGGCCCUGAGAGGGGGAUCCCCCACACUGGUACUGAGACACGGACCAGACUCCUACGGGAGGCAGCAGUGAGGAAUAUUGGACAAUGGGCGGGAGCCUGAUCCAGCCAUGCCGCGUGCAGGAAGACGGUCCUAUGGAUUGUAAACUGCUUUUAUACGGGAAGAACAAGGGGCACGUGUGCCCUUCUGACGGUACCGUAAGAAUAAGGAUCGGCUAACUCCGUGCCAGCAGCCGCGGGUA